This 384-nucleotide ribosomal RNA is filed under the name Triticum aestivum (bread wheat). RNAcentral describes it as "partial small subunit ribosomal RNA". The record is from RNAcentral. Lineage: Eukaryota; Viridiplantae; Streptophyta; Magnoliopsida; Poales; Poaceae.
AUGAGCCUGCAAGAUGACGACGAAGAGCAUGAGCAGCACCCCGUAGAUGACGGCGUGGACGAGGAUGGACAAGCAGCUGGUCCUGAGGUUCAUGAAGUCGACCGUCCGCUGCCGGCCGGGCAGCUGGAGGAUCCCUCCCGGGCACAGCAGGGCGAACAGCGCCGUCGCUAUGAUCGCCGGCGCCCAGUCGUGCAUCGCGCCACGGAGCUUCGAGAGAGAGAGAGUGAGAGGAACAGGGGAGCUGAGGAAGAGGGUCGCACGGUACGAAAAUAUGAUAUUGUGCCGGGGGAUAAGGAAGACGAGAGGAAAGGCAGGGCAUCGGAUGCCGAGCACAAAUACUCUACCAUGGUGGCGAGGGAAUCAGACAAUCAGUGGACUGAUUGA